This 1406-nucleotide long non-coding RNA is filed under the name Panax ginseng (ginseng). RNAcentral's name for it is "long non-coding RNA (PGIN_LNC015402)". The record is from RNAcentral. Lineage: Eukaryota; Viridiplantae; Streptophyta; Magnoliopsida; Apiales; Araliaceae.
UGGGACAUAACCUGAGUCAUCAAGAGCCAAAUACAAGACUAGGAAAUACUCAGCAAGGUUACAGGGAUACUAAGCAAAGCUAUCAAUAUAAAGUGAAAACUCAGCUAAGGUAUUAAACGUAAGGAACAAGGAAAUUAAUCUAUAAAAGCCAAGCUUCCCAUAUUCAGUUCCUCUUCUCAUGUGUUUCAUGUCAUACAUCAACUCAAGCAUGUAAGCAAGCUGAAAUUAGAAAGUGAUUGAAAUUGAGGAAGGAAAUUGAUGUAAUUGAAGCAACAAUUGCCUAGAAUUCAAGUGGAUAAGAGGUAAUCUAUCUAUGUGUUUAUGCUUGUUAGUUAGAAUUAGGAUAUAUAUAUGAAUAUCAGUGGAUAUAUCACUGUAAUUUGGUAUUUAUGGAAAUUAGUUUGAAAUUGAUGUGUAUGGUAUUUGAUUACAGCAAUAUGGUAAAAGUUUAUGUUUCUGUUUAUCUGGAGAAAUAAGAUAGAAGCCAGAAGCAUAUUGAUAGACAUUGAAUUGAAUUCCCAAGCUCUGCCGAAGCAGAGCUCUGUCUGGGUCUGAACUCGGAAGUGGCGCAGCUGCGCCACUUCCCAAGCCAAUACCAGAGCAGCUGCGCUGGUCCCCAGAAUUCAAAAAUAGUUUUCCUUGUGUUCUAAAGUUCUGGGCAGGUAUAAUGAAGUUGUAUAAGCAUAAAAUCAAGUGUUUUGCAUGAAACAAGUUACGUAAGCAUGAUUAGAAUAAGUUUCCAAACAAAAGUUAUCUUGAAUUUUAAGUAGAUGAGCUAAUGAAGUAUGAGCAUAUAUACUUGAGUAUGAUGUGAUUUCAAAAAGAAAGGAAAAUGAUUUUUAAAAAGUAAAUUUAAAGCAAGCUUAAAAUAGGAACUCAAAACUGAUAUACACUCUUAAAUCAUGUGUACAUGUGAACUUUAUAAAGUUUUAGCAUGCUUUAAAUAGAUCUGUGCAUUGAAUAGCUCAAAUCUGGACUGGACAGGGAGUAGUACAGCUGCGCCACUCUCAAACCUAAGAACAACGCAACUGCGCUGCUCUGCAGAACCACCACAGUUUAUACAUGCAGGGACGGAGCCAUGUAGGGGCUGGGUUGGGCUGUAGCCCGAGUCAAUUUUUUUUUUUUAUUUUUUACUUAUAUAUCUUAGCCCAGCCCAAGUAAUCUCAAAAAAAAAGGAACGGGUACUACCGAGCAAGGAGCAAGACUGCAAGAAGUACUAUCGAGCAAGGAGCAGAUUGAAGAACAAUCUAGGGCACACUGCACAUCUAGGGCUAAGUUGAAGAACAAAAUUCAACUUCAGGUAAUUUAGAUUUUGUACUGUAUGAACAGAAUGUAACUACUUGUAUAAAAUAGUGUUUCAUUGCAUGUCAAGUAUGUUCAAUAGUAGAGAUUUCCAUGUUAUUGAG